AGGAAGCCGGUGCGACUCCGGCGCGGUCCCGCCACUGUCACCGGGGAGCGAACCCCACGGCACGGCCACGGCCCACCAGGGCGGGAAGGCCGGGGUGAGCGUCGAUCCGGGAGCCAGGAGACU
Molecule: non-coding RNA, 123 nt
Filed under: Streptoalloteichus hindustanus
Lineage: Bacteria; Bacillati; Actinomycetota; Actinomycetes; Pseudonocardiales; Pseudonocardiaceae
Source: RNAcentral